Molecule: ribosomal RNA, 305 nt
Filed under: uncultured bacterium
Lineage: Bacteria
Description: bacterial SSU rRNA
Rfam family: Bacterial small subunit ribosomal RNA
Source: RNAcentral
GGGCCUACGGGAGGCAGCAGUGAGGAAUAUUGGUCAAUGGUCGGGAGACUGAACCAGCCAAGCCGCGUGAGGGAUGAAGGUACAGAGUAUCGUAAACCUCUUUUGUCAGGGAGCAAAGUCACCCACGUGUGGGUGUUGGAGAGUACCUGAAGAAAAAGCAUCGGCUAACUCCGUGCCAGCAGCCGCGGUAAUACGGAGGAUGCGGGCGUUAUCCGGAUUUAUUGGGUUUAAAGGGUGCGUAGGCGGGUUAUCAAGUCAGCGGUAAAAUCGUGGAGCUCAACUCCAUCCAGCCGUUGAAACUGAUG